This 45-nucleotide non-coding RNA is filed under the name Schistosoma curassoni. The record is from RNAcentral. Lineage: Eukaryota; Metazoa; Platyhelminthes; Trematoda; Strigeidida; Schistosomatidae.
AUCCAGUUGACGAGUCCCAAAUAGGACAAAACGCGCGCCCUGGAU